AGAGUUUGAUCCUGGCUCAGGAUGAACGCUGGCGGCGUGCUUAACACAUGCAAGUCGAACGGAAAGGCCCAAGCUUGCUUGGGUACUCGAGUGGCGAACGGGUGAGUAACACGUGGGUGAUCUGCCCUGCACUUCGGGAUAAGCCUGGGAAACUGGGUCUAAUACCGGAUAGGACGAUGGUUUGGAUGCCAUUGUGGAAAGUUUUUUCGGUGUGGGAUGAGCUCGCGGCCUAUCAGCUUGUUGGUGGGGUAAUGGCCUACCAAGGCGUCGACGGGUAGCCGGCCUGAGAGGGUGUACGGCCACAUUGGGACUGAGAUACGGCCCAGACUCCUACGGGAGGCAGCAGUGGGGAAUAUUGCACAAUGGGCGCAAGCCUGAUGCAGCGACGCCGCGUGGGGGAUGACGGCCUUCGGGUUGUAAACUCCUUUCGCUAGGGACGAAGCGUUUUUGUGACGGUACCUGGAGAAGAAGCACCGGCUAACUACGUG
RNAcentral lists this ribosomal RNA (488 nucleotides) under uncultured Corynebacterium sp. RNAcentral's name for it is "bacterial SSU rRNA". It matches the Rfam family "Bacterial small subunit ribosomal RNA", at positions 8 to 507 of the family's 1533-position model. The record is from RNAcentral. Lineage: Bacteria; Bacillati; Actinomycetota; Actinomycetes; Mycobacteriales; Corynebacteriaceae.